Long non-coding RNA from Heterocephalus glaber (naked mole-rat), 757 nucleotides. NCBI's taxonomy places the organism in Eukaryota, Metazoa, Chordata, Mammalia, Rodentia, Bathyergidae. The record is from Ensembl.
AGGUGGCACCCAGAGCCUUGUGUAUGUUAAGAGGAUGUUUCAGUACUGAGUCUUACACUUGCUUACCUGAGCAGCUUUUACAAAGUUGGUUCCACCCAUCAGUCAAGUAGGACAAGAGGAAGGCACAUUUCUGGAGACCUGGGACAUAAGAAGAGAGAGAAUGGAAAAGGAAAAUAGACACGCAGCAUUCGAAUUCAAAAAGUGUGGAAAGCUUUGGAGCAUCAGUUUCUGUCUGUCAGAUUUAAAACAGUGCUGCUGUCUGAAACAUCUAAGAGAUUUUACAGUUCCUCUAUGAAUUUGAUGAUUUCUUGCUAGAUGUCUCAAUAGUACAUGUAAAGAUAAUCAGUCUAUCCAAUAUAAUUUUAAUCAUCUACAAUCCAUGUACAAGAUCUGAAACUCAAAGAACUACAUUUUACUAAUUUCAGAGAUCUGCUUUGAGAUGACUACAGCAAGGGUAUAUGGCUUGACAGGAAUUUCGUUAGAGAUCUUAACACAGCAGACUUCAUCUCAAGUGGUCACUUCCACAAAAGUGACCUUCAGAGCCUGUGAGAGCAAAUAAAGAUUGUUUUAGGAUGCUAAAUUGCAGGAAGACUGUACUGUUCAUGUACUGUGAACUGCAACAAGGGAGUAGGAGGCCAGAAGUAUGCCAGGACUCAAAAAAUGCGAGUGUGAAUGUGAACUCUGCUGUAUAUUUUAGCCUUGCUCGCUUGCUGACAGGAUCAGAGAGGUGAGGUUAGAAAAGCGAAGUCAUUCUGAG